UGUUGUAACGGCGCCUGUAGCGACCAGAUAGUUUAGUUCGGCCUAGAAGCAUGCUUUAAAAUAUAUCUAAGCUCGGCUUAGUGUCUUAGCUAAUUACACAUAUGUUUGAUAAAUCAGCUGUAACAGAGAUGCAGUGGGAAGCUCGUUUUAGACAUCUGGUGUUAUCAUCUGUGGCGAACUUCCGACCAUACCCUAGCCUAACACUACCUAUAUUUGGUAAGGUUCUUUUCUGAUUGACAUCCGAUAUGAGCAGACGUGCCAAUUUUUCUCAACGUCAACAAAGUUUUGUUUAAAUACUAUAUAUUGAAAUCGUGGAAAAUAAUAAGAGGAAUAAGUGCAGCGAGCCUAGCUGAGUAAUAUUUUUGUGAUUAAUUUUGGAAAACUAUUGAGAUAUAUAUAUGAUAUAUAUAUUUCUCACGUGGCCAUCAAUACUGGCAUCCGUGGGAGCUCCCCUUCAAGACAGUGGGGGGCAUGAUUUAAUAUCGUGCCCCAAAUUAAAUCGGACAAGAAAAAUGAGGAGUUUCAACUGGAAUUAAAUUCAAGAAUGCGGCAUUAAAGAAGUGAUUUGGAGAGAUGUUUAACCCUCUCUACCCACGGCAGCAGCAGCAGCAGAUUUAGUAUAGCCAAAUAUGGACACAAAAGGGAAUAUAUAACCUGGAAUUGCUUUUAAGCCGCUACUGCGAUUUUUUUUUAAAGUGAAAUAUUAUAAUUAAAAAUUUGAAAGUUUUGAAACGUGCCAAAGUGAAGAAAAUUUAAUGAAUCAAAGAUAGCAACAUGCCGUAAAAAUCAAGUUUAAGUGAUAUUUUCUAAAGUCUGAAUGAUUCAGUCUAAAACGUAAUAUUUAAAUUAAAUUAAAUUUAAAACUUAAUUUUUCACGAGUGGAGUUAUUUACGCAUCGAUUUUGUUUUGGAAAAUUCGCUCAACUAUGACUUAAAAGCGAUAAAUUAAAUAUUUAUUUUUUUUUUGUAAAUUUAAAUAUAAUUUGAAAAUAGCAACUUCUGAUAAGAAACAAUAGUGAAUAUUAAAUUUAAAAAUGUGGUUAAGUGAAGAUAUCACAGUCGCUUCUCAGUAAAAUAUGUAGGCCUAAAAGGGUUCCAAGUUAAAAGAUUUUUAUAGAAUAGUUUUGUGUUUUCGAGCCCCAAUUUCACCCUUUACAGCCACCUGCCCGGGAGAUCGAUCUUUCGCCGCUGGAACAACGUAUAAGCUGUGAGUUUAUUAUUCUCAUUAUUGCAUUUAUAUCUAUUCUAUUUAUAUCUUAUUGCGAAAUACUCUAUGAAAUAAUUUUUAACAAUCUACUUGAAUGAAACUGUGAAUUUAAAAGAACCCUGAACCGAUAGCCUCACUAAACUAAAUUAAAUUAAACAAAAAGAUAUCAAACAGAAUGAAGAUGAUUUAGUGAAAUAAAAAAAUAAAUUAAAGCAAUGAAAUUUAAAUAUCUAUUGUUAUACAAGAGUAAUAUUUUUUUAUUGAUGAAGUACGAUAUCUGAAUACCCUAUAUUUUUCUUAUUUCUUAUCUUUUUAAAUAUAUACGAACAUUAUAACUAC
Drosophila ficusphila is the source of this 1545-nucleotide long non-coding RNA. RefSeq lists it as uncharacterized. The transcript is spliced from 2 exons. The record is from RefSeq and is a predicted model, not a curated record. NCBI's taxonomy places the organism in Eukaryota, Metazoa, Arthropoda, Insecta, Diptera, Drosophilidae.